Long non-coding RNA from Lingula anatina, 910 nucleotides. RefSeq lists it as uncharacterized. The record is from RefSeq and is a predicted model, not a curated record. NCBI's taxonomy places the organism in Eukaryota, Metazoa, Brachiopoda, Lingulata, Lingulida, Lingulidae.
AGGUCAGUAGAAGAUGGAGAGGAAAGAAACCUCAUGCCACGUUGCAUCGAUUCCCACGCGUAAGAAGAAAAUAAGGCGCUGAAAAACGACAGCAGUCUGUGAGGGAACGCAUUUUCCAAUAAAAAGGAAAUGUCUACCUUCAGCUUUCCAUUAUCUACACGAGAGAUCCGUCUUACACUAGGCAGGUAUACAUUAACAGUUACCCACCUUUUAUGAUGAGACCAGAGGAGACUUGCAUCAACGACAUCAGAUUCGUGUUGGACAGUGCCCGCACCCGUAUCAAGCUAAAAAGAUUGUUUCGUUUGUCGAAGUUGGUUUUCUCUUUUAAAUUUGCAGGAUCAAUAUUUAAUAUGGAAUUGGUUGUUAUAUUCUGCACUGUAUGAAAGGGAAAUUUGUACGCUACUAGCAUUUUAUUCAUGAAAGUCGUGAUAAGAAAAGUAAAAAUAAAAAACAUUAGGUCUUUACUGAACGUCAACUCUGCAUGCCCCUGGUUUACUGCUUAACACGUGCUAUAAAGCCAUGACAGUACACGUAGGAUUGAUCUUUGAAAAACAGCUUUAGUUGGAAAACCAGCCUAAUUGUAUUCUUUUUCUAAAAAAUAUGCAGUUUUUAAAAGAACUGUUAAUUUUUCUCAUAUUGGCAUUUUCAAAUUGUGACUUUGAAGUCCUUUGCUAGUCACACUUCCUAAAUAUCCAUGAUAUUUAUAAUGUAUUAUUAAAAUUGAUGGUGAUUAUGUUGUUAAGCAUUAUGCCAAAUUGCAUCAAAAUUGAUUAAAAAAAACUUGUCUACUGCCACUACAAAUGCUCUAAAAGGAAAACUGUGUUGCUUAUUUUGUAGUUUUCAAAAAUUACUAAUAUACAGCUCAAAUUGGCAAACCAGCUUGGUUGCAUUAUUUUUCUUUUUUGUAGUG